RNAcentral lists this ribosomal RNA (254 nucleotides) under uncultured bacterium. Its description in RNAcentral is "partial 16S ribosomal RNA". It matches the Rfam family "Bacterial small subunit ribosomal RNA", at positions 524 to 776 of the family's 1533-position model. The record is from RNAcentral.
UACGAGAGCUCCAAGCGUUAUCCGGAAUUACUGGGCGUAAAGCGUAUGUAGGCGGCGAUGUUAGUCUCCCGUGAAAUUCCUCGGCUUAACCGAGGCGCUGCGGGGGAAACGGCAUUGCUUUGAAUCCGUAAGAGGUCUGUGGAACUCAUCAUGUAGGGGUGAAAUCCGUUGAUAUGAUGGGGAACACCAAAGGCGAAGGCAACAGGCUGGUACGGUAUUGACGCUGAAGUACGAAAGCGUGGGUAGCGAAUGGG